GACGAACGCUGGCGGCGUGCCUAAUACAUGCAAGUAGAACGCUGAAGGAGGAGCUUGCUUCUCCGGAUGAGUUGCGAACGGGUGAGUAACGCGUAGGUAACCUGCCUGGUAGCGGGGGAUAACUAUUGGAAACGAUAGCUAAUACCGCAUAACAGUAGAUGUUGCAUGACAUUUUCUUAAAAGGUGCACUUGCAUCACUACCAGAUGGACCUGCGUUGUAUUAGCUAGUUGUUGAGGUAACGGCUCACCAAGGCGACGAUACAUAUCCGACCUGAGAGGGUGAUCGGCCACACUGGGACUGAGACACGGCCCAGACUCCUACGGGAGGCAGCAGUAGGGAAUCUUCGGCAAUGGACGGAAGUCUGACCGAGCAACGCCGCGUGAGUGAAGAAGGUUUUCGGAUCGUAAAGCUCUGUUGUAAGAGAAGAACGAGUGUGAGAGUGGAAAGUUCACACUGUGACGGUAUCUUACCAGAAAGGGACGGCUAACUACGUG
This 495-nucleotide ribosomal RNA is filed under the name uncultured bacterium. RNAcentral describes it as "partial 16S ribosomal RNA". It matches the Rfam family "Bacterial small subunit ribosomal RNA", at positions 28 to 507 of the family's 1533-position model. The record is from RNAcentral.